RNAcentral lists this ribosomal RNA (496 nucleotides) under uncultured bacterium. RNAcentral's name for it is "partial 16S ribosomal RNA". It matches the Rfam family "Bacterial small subunit ribosomal RNA", at positions 28 to 507 of the family's 1533-position model. The record is from RNAcentral.
GAUGAACGCUGGCGGCGUGCCUAAUACAUGCAAGUCGAGCGAACAGAUAAGGAGCUUGCUCCUUUGACGUUAGCGGCGGACGGGUGAGUAACACGUGGGUAACCUACCUAUAAGACUGGGAUAACUUCGGGAAACCGGAGCUAAUACCGGAUAAUAUUUCGAACCGCAUGGUUCGAUAGUGAAAGAUGGUUUUGCUAUCACUUAUAGAUGGACCCGCGCCGUAUUAGCUAGUUGGUAGGUAACGGCUUACCAAGGCGACGAUACGUAGCCGACCUGAGAGGGUGAUCGGCCACACUGGAACUGAGACACGGUCCAGACUCCUACGGGAGGCAGCAGUAGGGAAUCUUCCGCAAUGGGCGAAAGCCUGACGGAGCAACGCCGCGUGAGUGAUGAAGGUCUUCGGAUCGUAAAACUCUGUUAUUAGGGAAGAACAUACGUGUAAGUAACUGUGCACGUCUUGACGGUACCUAAUCAGAAAGCCACGGCUAACUACGUG